Molecule: non-coding RNA, 685 nt
Organism: Pelobates cultripes (western spadefoot toad)
Lineage: Eukaryota; Metazoa; Chordata; Amphibia; Anura; Pelobatidae
Source: the annotation of a GenBank genome assembly
CAGCAGCUACCCUUUCCCUCCUCUCACUAAGCAUGCAGCUUCAGAAUGAAUCUAAAAUGGAUGCUGGGAGGGAGGUGAAGGGGGUCUGCUAGGGAGGGUGUGCUGCUGAUUGGCUGGAAUGUGUCUGCUGACCGAGAGGCACAGGGUCAAAGUUUGCUCAAUGAUGACGAAUAGGGGGCGGAUCGAACCGCCCAUGUGUUCGCCCGCGGUGGCGAACGCGAACACGCUAUGUUCGCCGGGAACUAUUCGCCGGCGAACAGUUCGGUACAUCACUACAAAUAGGUAGGGAUUUUUCAGAGGGAGGAGGACAAACUAGAGGCACAGUGCACACCCGUCAGUUACAGCGCACGUGCAUGCAUUAGUGUACCUUAUGUAGCUCUGCCUUUUGUGUCAAGAGUAGGCAAAAUACUUAAUAUAAAAGUUGUUCUUAUUUUGUGGGGGUCACGGAAAUGCUGUAAGUCUACAUUUAAAGUGCUCUAUCAUUCUUUCUAUUCUAUGCCUCCAAUUCCACAUGGUAAUUGUAUUUUCAAAUAUAAAAUAUAGAGAUUGUAAUUUGCUUUGUGGUUACAAUUUGGUGAGUUUGAACUAUAUGUUUGAUUUUUACAUCUCCAGAGGAAAGAAGCAAACCGCUUUGAGGAUUUACUGCAUAAGAGACUAUUGGAUACUGAAGGACUGUUCUGUAAAG